UUUCCUCCCUUCUCCUCCUCCCUUCAGCGCUCCCCGCCGCUAGCCACCGCCCUCUUUCCUUUCCCUCCUUCCCUCACGCCCCCGAGGCGGCGAGGAGCUGCUCACACAGGCCCGGCCCCGGCUCGAAGGUGAACUCACUAUAUUGUUACCCACCUCGCGAACAAGAAGAAAGCUUAUUUUGGUCUCUGUACAUUUAUACAUUUCCACAGCAAGGGCCCACCUCCUCAUUCUACAGACAACAGCGGCAUACCAACAGAGCUCCUCUUUCCUCAGACAACAGCAGUCCGUAGCACAGCAUCAACACUGAACAGAGACCGAGGCUGUAUAACAGCAAAACCACCAAAUGCUCCUGUAUCACCUGUCUGGGACAGCACACGCACCCUAAGAGGAUGGUCCAGUGAGCUGUUGCAACUAAGUGAAAGACUGAUGCGGAACUGCAGUCCCUCUAGAUUUGGUAUUACACAGCGGUGCCAGUGAAUUUUUGCAGUAAAACUACAAACCUGAGACUGAGGUGAAAUCACUACUCAAGUACUAUGUGGUAACUUGAUAAUCUAGGAGGUAGACUUGAAAGAUCACUGGCAAGAAAAAAAAAAAAGGAUUUAUCAUGAUCACACUGCACGGAACAUUGGAAUAAUGAGCAGCAACACAUAAAGAGAAGGGUCUCAAACUUCCAGCAUCUGAAAGAAAAAUACCUGUGCACCUUAGGGUAGCUACGGAUUGUCAUCACUGCCAUCUAUUAUUCAAGGGUACUGCGUUCCUGUAAGAUACCAGCUGACUGCACCAACCUCCCGGGCAAAGAAGAACAAAGGAUACUGUUCCUACCUGAUGGCUGCCACUUUGGUUUGGACAGGACCAUACAAGGACCAGGACUGAAGGAAAAAAUCUACCAAAAAUAUCCUUGGAGAAAAAAAAUUACACCAUUUCCUACAGCAAUUUGGAGGCAGCUCAGAUCCACCACCGGACUUGAAGCUACUUUUUAUCCAUUUCUCUCUUAUCUUCCCUCGUCCCCACCCUGGAGAGAAGCUUUCUUUUUUGUUUUCUUUCCUUUGGAAGAAAAACUGACUUGCUACUCAAAUUUUUUUUGUACUGCACAACAGUACGUUUGUAAGCCACCUAAAAGAACGCUUAUAUUUUCAGAGAAUUUUGAAUAUGUAAUAAUGAGUGAUUUUAAAGUAUCCAAUAAUAUAUUCUAAAAAAAAUCUUUUUGACUUUUGGAAAAGCAUUCCAGUGUUAUUAUGUCAUUUUGUUUUACAUGGCACGCACUGGUAAGAGGAGAGAUGACACAGAUCUUAGUUAAUUUCCAGCUCAGGUGAUUAUGCUCUUGCAGUGGAAUAUGCCAGUUGCUGUUUUAACUGGAAAAAUAUUCAGUUCCGAAAUGGUAUGUGUAGUUUUGCCAUUCUCCGAUACAAACACUUGCUGUCACUUACCACUGGGAAGCCUACGUAUUCUGUGGCACAACCCGAGUUCUUUGGUGCUUGUCAGAACUGGACUCAUCUGUAUUCUUGUUUAUUCUUACAACUCUUUGUUAUUAGAGAACAGGAAUACUAGACCCACUCACUGUGUGGAUCUUGUCCAUGUAACACAGCUGGUAAAACUUCCCAGGGAGUUAGGUGAUUUGCCACGAGCAAGUAAACAGCCAAAAGCAUCCAGGCCAGCCUGUUCUCUUAGUAGUGGAGGCUCCUGUAAGGGAAUGAUUAAAGGGAGAACAACCUCUAAGCCGCAAACACACUGAGAAGGAGAGGGUUGCAAAUUUCCUUCAUUUAACUCAGUAAAAACAUACACAUGAAAUAAAAUCAAAUUUUGCAUGUCCUUUUGACCAGUCUAUCUGUUCCCCAACCUUGUCAUACCCCCUAAGACAUAAACAUACCUGGAACUCACAGUAGUGAGCCUAUUUGUAAACUAAGAUGAUAACUCACUCAAUAUUGACAGGAAGAGUUGCUUGCUGAGAUGAAUCUUUCUGGGCAUAAACAUGCAUAAAAAACAUUCAUUCUUGUUCCCUGUAACCUGCAAAGAUACAUGUGCUUCCUUCUAACCUGGUCUUAGCCUGGCUUAUCUGCUCUAAAAAUCAGAACAAUUCCUAAUAUUCACACACAUUUUCAUGUGCAGCUCUGUGGCAUCUUCUUUCAAUACAAAUUGGUUAUUAUCUCAAAAUAUAUAUAACAAGUCUCAGCAGAAAUUUUGGUGCUACAUCUUCAAGUCUCUGAGGGACCCGCAGUUUGAUGUGGUUAUUUUCACUUCCACAAACCCUCAUGCGAGAUACGCAACCUCAUCAAUGACCAAGGAAAUAGCCUAUGUACUGGUAGUAUCACGUAAGUAUUUAUGCAGUUCACCUGAAAUGGGCCAUUUAGUUGUGGAGCGCAUACUGAGGAUGUAUGCAGGUGCGUGUGCUCCUGUAGGCACACAGCUGCAUACAUGGCCAGAAACCUAUUGGCGUGUGUGUGUGUGCUAUUUGUAUAAGGAGAAA
Long non-coding RNA from Cygnus atratus (black swan), 2464 nucleotides. RefSeq lists it as uncharacterized. The record is from RefSeq and is a predicted model, not a curated record. The transcript has 6 exons. NCBI's taxonomy places the organism in Eukaryota, Metazoa, Chordata, Aves, Anseriformes, Anatidae.